RNAcentral lists this ribosomal RNA (325 nucleotides) under uncultured eukaryote. RNAcentral describes it as "partial 18S ribosomal RNA". It matches the Rfam family "Eukaryotic small subunit ribosomal RNA", at positions 1470 to 1796 of the family's 1831-position model. The record is from RNAcentral.
CCCUUAGAUGUUCUGGGCCGCACGCGCGCUACACUGAUGCAUUCAACGAGCCUAUCCUUGACCGACAGGUCCGGGUAAUCUUUGAAUCUGCAUCGUGACGGGGAUAGAUUAUUGCAAUUAUUAAUCUUCAACGGGGAAUGCCUAGUAGGCGCAAGUCAUCAGCUUGCGUCGAUUACGUCCCUGCCCUUUGUACACACCGCCCGUCGCUCCUACCGAUUGGGUGUGCUGGUGAAAUGUUCGGAUCGGCCGUUUGUCGCGGUUUCCGCGUCAUGUGGCUGAGAAGUUCAUUAAACCCUCCCACCGAGAGGAAGGAGAAGUCGUAACA